This 492-nucleotide ribosomal RNA is filed under the name uncultured bacterium. Its description in RNAcentral is "partial 16S ribosomal RNA". It matches the Rfam family "Bacterial small subunit ribosomal RNA", at positions 29 to 507 of the family's 1533-position model. The record is from RNAcentral.
AGUGAACGCUGGCGGUAGGCCUAACACAUGCAAGUCGAACGGCAGCACAGUAAGAGCUUGCUCUUACGGGUGGCGAGUGGCGGACGGGUGAGGAAUACAUCGGAAUCUACUUUUUCGUGGGGGAUAACGUAGGGAAACUUACGCUAAUACCGCAUACGACCUACGGGUGAAAGCAGUGGAUCUUCGGACCUUGCGCGAUUGAAUGAGCCGGUGUCGGAUUAGCUAGUUGGCGGGGUAAAGGCCCACCAAGGGGACGAUCCGUAGCCGGUCUGAGAGGAUGAUCAGCCACACUGGAACGGAGACGCGGUCCAGACUCCUACGGGAGGCAGCAGUGGGGAAUAUUGGACAAUGGGCGCAAGCCUGAUCCAGCCAUACCGCGUGGGUGAAGAAGGCCUUCGGGUUGUAAAGCCCUUUUGUUGGGAAAGAAAAGCAGCAGGUUAAUACCCCGCUGUUCUGACGGUACCCAAAGAAUAAGCACCGGCUAACUUCGUG